CCUACGGGCGGCAGCAGUGGGGAAUAUUGGGCAAUGGAGGAAACUCUGACCCAGCAACGCCGCGUGAAUGAUGAAGGUCUUCGGAUUGUUAAGUUCUUUUCUUAGGGAAGAAAAAAGUGACGGUACCUUAGGAAUAAGCCUCGGCUAACUACGUGCCAGCAGCAGCUGUAAUACGUCGGAGGCGAGCGUUAUGCGGAAUGACUGGGCGUAAAGGGUGCGUAGGUGGGUUGGCAAGUUAGUAGCGUAACUCCAAGGCUCAACCUUGGAACUACUACUAAAACUGUUGGACUUGAGUGCAGGAGGGGCAAGCGGAAUGCCUAGUGUAGCGGUGGAAUGCGUAGAUAUUAGGUGGAACACCAGUGGCGAAGGCAGGUUGCUAGACUGUAACUGACACUGAGGCACGAAAGCGUGGGGAGCAAACAGGAUUAGAUACCCUUGUAGUC
RNAcentral lists this ribosomal RNA (443 nucleotides) under uncultured bacterium. RNAcentral describes it as "partial 16S ribosomal RNA". It matches the Rfam family "Bacterial small subunit ribosomal RNA", at positions 338 to 795 of the family's 1533-position model. The record is from RNAcentral.